GCGAGGGUCCACGGCUUCGUUCUUGAAGUCAGUGAGACCAAGAACCCACAAAUUCCGGACACUUCCCCACACAGAGGGAACUGGCCUAACACUCUGGUGGUGCCAAUAGGAUGUACUGACAGAUCAGAAGUGGUCGUGAGAGAAGGAGCAAGUAGCCAGAAGAGUGAAGUGUGCACUGGCUGAGAUGUGGGAGCAGGUGUUGUUGGUUUCCCCGGAGUAAGUUACCUUGACAAGAAGGCCCUCGCCAGAUAUCAAGGCCUUAAGCUUGGACUUCCCAGCCUCCAGAACUGUCUUAUGUAUCAACAAAAUCACACCAGACCACCCAAAGCUGGCCCUGCCAACUGACCACACACACCCCUGCCUGAAAGGCAUGUUUCAAUGUGCAACAGACGCCUGCCACUCAGGGGACAUCAAAUGUUCAUGAGAACUCGCUAACCUCGAAACAGGUUCUACAAAUUCAAAAAAACCACCCGUGGCCUGGCUCUGGGCUGAAGCUGAGUCCUGGCUUGAAAUCCCCUGCCUUAAUCUCUCUUCGAAGACUUUUCUGCAUUCAUCUGAGUCCUCAUCCUCCAAGGCAGGGCUCAGGCUUGGGCUCAGGCUCCCAGCCAUGUAUCCCUCCUGGACCAUUCCUGACUCCUUUCCAGUAUCCUUAUCACUUGUACCACAUACGUUGGCCUUUGAUCCUGUGUACUGUUGGAUUUGUCUUUACUUCACAGGUUCAUCUUGUCUCCCCAAGAACAAUGAGAGUUGCCUCAAGGGGUAGAACCAUGCUUUUUGUUUUCUUUUGAAUUCAUUACAGCACAGCCAAAAGCUCAACACACAAAACACACUCAGUAAAUAUCUGUUGAACAGAAUAAAAGCCAUUCCGC
Long non-coding RNA from Homo sapiens (human), 869 nucleotides. Ensembl annotates it as KAZN antisense RNA 1. Its record names the gene KAZN-AS1. The record is from Ensembl. NCBI's taxonomy places the organism in Eukaryota, Metazoa, Chordata, Mammalia, Primates, Hominidae.